Molecule: RNA transcript, 1621 nt
Organism: Vollenhovia emeryi
Lineage: Eukaryota; Metazoa; Arthropoda; Insecta; Hymenoptera; Formicidae
Gene name: UPF0528 protein CG10038
Exons: 10
Source: RefSeq, a predicted model, not a curated record
GAGCAUACUGGGGUAUGCGACCGGCUGUCUUUAAUGAUAUUUUGUCAGUGGUUUUAACGAAUUUAAUAACAGAAUAAGAAUAGGUUAAGCCCUCGUAAUCGAGCAACAACAUUUUUAAAGGAUGGCUGGUUGUUCAUUAUCUGCAGAAAAUGAAAUAAUUUUGAGGCAAUACUUUAUUGAAAGCAGAUUAGAAAUAGAUUGAGAAAUUAUGGCGAUGCAGUCGAGAUUUCUGCUACAAAAAUUUGGCUAUGAUUUUGAUGAAGAUGGACGACUCCGACAAUUUGAUAUGGUUUCUGGUUUGACUAAUAAAGGUUUUGAAUUUAAAGUUAGUAACAAUGAGGAACAUAAUCAGAAGCGAUAUGAAGAAUUAGGCGAAAUAAUUACUUGCUACGUAUAUGAAUUGCUACAAUUGGAAGGUUUGGAAAAAGUGCCAGUACCAAAGAUCUCUCAGAGUUCAUUAGAAUCCAGAUCAUUUAUAUUUGCAAGUCCAAAUAUUUAUGACUACGACAAAUUGAUAAUAUUGAUUCAUGGUAGUGGUGUUGUCAGGGCUGGACAGUGGGCUAGGCGUUUAAUAAUAAAUGAUAAUAUUUCCACUGGUACACAAAUCCCGUAUAUUAGAAAAGCAAAGGAAUUGAAUUAUGGCAUCUUAGUGCUUAAUACCAAUGACAAUGAAAGAAUUGUUGCAGGAGAAUCGCAUAAAAUUAUAGGUAGUGAAGAUCCUCAUAAGCACGUAGAAACAGUUUGGAAUGAUUAUAUUCGAAAUUGUAAGGCGAAACAUAUUGCUAUUGUUGCACACAGUUAUGGAGGACAGUGUGUGGUUCAAUUUGCAAGAAAAUACGCAGACGAAUUUAAACAGAAAGUUUUUGCAGUAGCUUUAACAGAUGCUUUUCUUACAAAAUCUCAGGAAGGAGCAAAUGUGAUAAAAAUUUUCAGGAACUGGAUCUGUUCGGAUCAACCAUUAGAUACACCUCUUCGUACUGUGAAUGGAGAUAUCGAAUGUGUAUCAGCCGGUCAUACUGUCCACGAAAUGUCAUCGUCUUCUUGUAUGGCAUCAUUGUUUGACUUUAUAGAACAUCGCUAUAAAUAUGUUUCCUAGUGUAACGAUGAGAAUAAUUAUUUAAUCGUAUAUGUAAUACCUGUGCACUCAUGGUGAAAAAGAAAAAUUCGUGCUGACUGGUGCUCGCGGCGCGGGCAAGGCUGAUUGGCCGGUCGCGGGGCGCGACGCAGUGGUGGGGGUAAACUCUCCUGAGGUCUGUUCGCGUUGCAUGCUCCAACAACCAAUACCGUCCUUCUGUUUGCAAUUUGAGUGACGGUAUUGGUCGUUGGGGCAAGCAGGAGCAUGUGGAGCGUGCAACGCGAACAAACUUCUAGGGAUACUCUUCUAGGAUGCGUUCGCAAACGUCACUCGAGUGCACUUCCUCUUCCUCUUCUUCUAUCCUAUUCUUCUUUCCCGUUCACUCAAACGCGAAACGGAAAAACUGCAGUACACCCGGAUGACGUUUCCGAACGCACCCUUGCCGAGAAGGAAAAGUUUGGAGAUUCUUGAUUAUUCCCUAGUAACAUAAUUAGAGCUGAUUCUUUGUCCGCCCAAGGUUUGGCGAAAAUAAAAAUAAUGAGAGAA